GAACUCUAACAUAUGUGCGAGUGUGAGGAGCUAAACACCUUCAUGCCUGCAUAUUCGUGCUCUUGGGUGUACUUGCUCGUGUGGUUGGUUAACAUCAAUUUCGGACGCCAUAAAAUGGCUGGAGGAAUGUAGCUUCGAUCUCGUAUUGAAGUGUUAUAGCCUUCGGUAGAUGUGGUGAUCGAGAUUGAGGGAUUGCAACGGAUACCCGUUCGGGGCUACCUGUCUGGUCUCUGAUCGUUGCUCUGGUGCCGAAAGCUUGCUUACGGUUAUCAAAGUCGAUGGUC
RNAcentral lists this ribosomal RNA (284 nucleotides) under Rhizophagus irregularis. The record is from RNAcentral. Lineage: Eukaryota; Fungi; Glomeromycota; Glomeromycetes; Glomerales; Glomeraceae.